This 311-nucleotide ribosomal RNA is filed under the name uncultured eukaryote. Its description in RNAcentral is "partial 18S ribosomal RNA". It matches the Rfam family "Eukaryotic small subunit ribosomal RNA", at positions 1470 to 1796 of the family's 1831-position model. The record is from RNAcentral.
CCCCUAGACGUUCUGGGCUGCACGCGCACUACAAUAAUACGCACAGCGAGUAUCACCGAGCUCGAAAGGGCAAGGUAAACAAUAGAAAAGGUACUGUAAUGGUUAUAGAUCCUUGUAAUUAUUGAUCUUCAACGAGGAAUUCCUAGUAAGUAUGUGUCAUCAUCACGCACUGAUUACGUCCCUGCCCUUUGUACACACCGCCCGUCGCUCCUACCGAUUGAGUGAGCCGAUGAAACUGCCGGAUGUGGACUAUUCAUAGUCUGCAGAAGAUAUUUGAAUCGUAGCGCUUAGAGGAAGGAGAAGUCGUAACA